This 82-nucleotide transfer RNA is filed under the name Marininema halotolerans. Its description in RNAcentral is "tRNA_Leu_CAA". It matches the Rfam family "tRNA". From Rfam's summary of the family: Transfer RNA (tRNA) molecules are approximately 80 nucleotides in length. Their secondary structure includes four short double-helical elements and three loops (D, anti-codon, and T loops). The record is from RNAcentral. Lineage: Bacteria; Bacillati; Bacillota; Bacilli; Caryophanales; Thermoactinomycetaceae.
GCCAAAGUGGCGGAACUGGCAGACGCGCACGACUCAAAAUCGUGUUCCUUCGGGAGUGUGGGUUCGAGUCCCACCUUUGGUA